ACAUAUGCCCUGCCUUCCCACACCCCCAGCAUCAGCAUGCUCUCCAUCCCUGGAGACGUUGUUUAGCCUCUCCUCCUCUGUGACUCAUGCCUCACCUCCAGCCAGAGCUGAUUUAGUAGUUCCCUCUCCUCUGCUCCCAUAGUACAUUGUCCAGGCCACCGUUAGGAAAUAGAAUACAUUCCCAUCGUCAGCAUCUGCAUCUUACCAUAUCAUUAGAUUGAUGCCUGGAUCAAGGGCCUAAGGGAGCAGUCAGGGCCAGAU
Molecule: long non-coding RNA, 261 nt
Filed under: Homo sapiens (human)
Lineage: Eukaryota; Metazoa; Chordata; Mammalia; Primates; Hominidae
Description: long non-coding RNA NONHSAT213755.1
Source: RNAcentral